UACGAAGGGAGCUAGCGUUGUUCGGAAUUACUGGGCGUAAAGGGCGUGUAGGUGGUUCGAUAAGCAAGAUGUGAAAUCCCUGGGCUUAACCUAGGAAUGGCAUUUUGGACUGUUGGACUCAGUGUGCGAGAGGGGAAAGUGGAAUGGCGAGUGGAGCAGUGAAAUGCGUUGAUAUUCGUUGGAACACCAGAGGCGAAGGCGACUUUCUGGCUCGACACAGACACUAAGGCGCGAAAGCGUGGGGAGCAAACAGG
RNAcentral lists this ribosomal RNA (254 nucleotides) under uncultured bacterium. RNAcentral's name for it is "partial 16S ribosomal RNA". It matches the Rfam family "Bacterial small subunit ribosomal RNA", at positions 524 to 776 of the family's 1533-position model. The record is from RNAcentral.